GCCAGCAGCCAUAUCACUCUGCAACUCACAACUGGUAACUCACCGACGCUAAGCAGGUGUGAGCCUAGUCAGUACCUGGAUGGGACACCACCUGGGAAACAGUUGCUGCUGGAA
This 114-nucleotide ribosomal RNA is filed under the name Lepisosteus oculatus (spotted gar). The record is from RNAcentral. Lineage: Eukaryota; Metazoa; Chordata; Actinopteri; Semionotiformes; Lepisosteidae.